CCUCUAGCUCUGAUAUCACUUGUCGGAUCAUUGGCAUUAACCAUUAAUCCUAAAAUUUCGAGCUGUUAGAAAUACGCAACUAAUUCACUGAAAGCGUACAGAUACAACGCCCACAAGUUUCAAUUGUGACUCGGACCACUCGACCUAAUGCCACUUCGAACAUGACUCGGUCUGCCCAACCUCACGCCAUUUCGAACGUGACUCGGUCCAACCCGACCACCCGUCAUAGGGCAAAAUGCUGGCCCAUUUAAACCAACAUAUCAGACUCAAAAUCUACUACUAUAA
Molecule: long non-coding RNA, 285 nt
Filed under: Ananas comosus (pineapple)
Lineage: Eukaryota; Viridiplantae; Streptophyta; Magnoliopsida; Poales; Bromeliaceae
Description: long non-coding RNA (ACOM_LNC041171)
Source: RNAcentral